Molecule: non-coding RNA, 1018 nt
Filed under: Pan troglodytes (chimpanzee)
Lineage: Eukaryota; Metazoa; Chordata; Mammalia; Primates; Hominidae
Source: RNAcentral
GCAUGCAGGUGAGAAGGGAAGAUACGUGUAAUCUGCAUGUCUGCCAACAUUCCUUGUUACCCUUUUUCAUAUCCCAUGAACACAGCACUCCAGCGGACCUACCCAAAAUAUGUGGGAGUUCAGUGAAACUCAAACAGCAUGCUUCUGGUCAGCCUAUACAGUCUCUGUCCUGGUGAGGAGCAUGAUCACCAACAGGCAAGAUCUUCUGGCCUCGAAGUUUCGCUUGAGCUAAAAGAGCUCAUCUCAGGACUUUCUGAAUUUUCAGCCCAUAUGACAUGGAAGAAGAGUUAGAAGGGGAAUCUGACUGCUUGGAUCAGGGACUGUCUGGCUAGUGGAACUUGAAUAGAUGUACAGUGCACCACUUUGAGGAUCAAGUCUGACCCUGCCUUUAAAUUUGGAUUCAAAGUACUUAGAUUUUCUGGAAUCCCAUUCUACAAUCUUCUGGUCGAAAGUAUAAAACCAGUCUCUCAUUCCACCUUACGAGAAACACCCACAGGUGUGGAGGGGCAACCCACCCCUUCAUCUGGUGCCCAACGUGGAGGCUUUUCUCUAGGGUGAAGGUACGCUCGAGCGUGGUCAUUGAGGACAAGUCAACAAGAGAUCCCGAGUACAUCUACAGUCAGCCUUACGGUAAGCUUGUGCACUCGGAAGAAGCUAGGGUGACAAUGGGGCAAACUAAAAGUAAAACUAAAAGUAAAUAUGCCUCUUAUCUUAGCUUCAUUAAAAUUCUUUUAAAAAGAGGGGGAGUUAGAGUAUCCACCAAAAAUCUAAUCAAACUAUUUCAAACAAUAGAACAAUUUUGCCCAUGGUUUCCAGAACAAGGAACUUUAGAUCUAAAAGAUUGGAAAAGAAUUGGUAAGGAACUAAAACAAGCAGGUAGGAAGGGUAAUAUCAUUCCACUUACAGUAUGGAAUGAUUGGCCCAUUAUUAAAGCAGCUUUAGAACCAUUUCAAACAGAAGAAGAUAGCGUUUCAGUUUCUGAUGCCCCUGGAAGCUGUAUAAUAGAUUGUAAUGAAAA